AACCAGGAUCUUAUAAGAUCCAUAUCUUAUAUUGGAUAAGUUAUUAU
Molecule: non-coding RNA, 47 nt
Organism: Sarcophilus harrisii (Tasmanian devil)
Lineage: Eukaryota; Metazoa; Chordata; Mammalia; Dasyuromorphia; Dasyuridae
Source: Rfam